UCCAGACUCCUACGGGAGGCAGCAGUGGGGGAUAUUGCACAAUGGGGGGAACCCUGAUGCAGCGACGCCGCGUGGGUGAAGGAGCGUUUCGGCGCGUAAAGCCCUAUCGGCAGGGAAGAAAAUGACGGUACCUGACUAAGAAGCCCCGGCUAACUACGUGCCAGCAGCCGCGGUAAUACGUAGGGGGCAAGCGUUAUCCGGAUUUACUGGGUGUAAAGGGAGCGUAGACGGCCAGACAAGUCAGAAGUGAAAGCCCAGGGCUCAACCCUGGGACUGCUUUUGAAACUGCCGGGCUGGAGUGCAGGAGAGGUAAGCGGAAUUCCUAGUGUAGCGGUGAAAUGCGUAGAUAUUAGGAGGAACACCAGUGGCGAAGGCGGCCUGCUGGACGACAACUGACGGUGAGGCGCGAAAGCGUGGGGAGCAAACAGGAUUAGAUACCCCCGUAAA
RNAcentral lists this ribosomal RNA (447 nucleotides) under uncultured bacterium. RNAcentral's name for it is "partial 16S ribosomal RNA". It matches the Rfam family "Bacterial small subunit ribosomal RNA", at positions 330 to 794 of the family's 1533-position model. The record is from RNAcentral.